Non-coding RNA from Nicotiana tabacum (common tobacco), 2118 nucleotides. The record is from RefSeq and is a predicted model, not a curated record. NCBI's taxonomy places the organism in Eukaryota, Viridiplantae, Streptophyta, Magnoliopsida, Solanales, Solanaceae.
UCCAAAUCUUAAUCACUCUUUCCUCCUCUUCAACAAUUGUUAACAGAGCAACAAAAUCCACUCAACAAUUUCAAAAAAUAAUAUUUUCCCCACUAUUCUAAAGUUCUACGUCCAAUAUAUACUCCUAUAGAUUUGUCUUUUAGCUCUACGACACAGCAAUGGAGAAUGGUGGUGGUGGUGGAACGAAUGGGAAAAGAGUAAGAGCUGAAGAUGUAAUAUGUAAGCUCAAAGACGACGGUGAUUUCGAUAAACUUCGCCUCAAAAUUCUCCGCAAACUCAAAGAAAACGAAGAGUUGCGGAAUAGCAUAAUAGCCACUGUGAAAGAAUCAGCAGCACUUAACCGUCCAGGUGCAGAAAAUAUGAAACCAAGGCAACUGUCGGAUGCUAUAUAUCAAGAAGUUGGGGACAAAGUCAUGGGUAAAAUUUCAGAGGAUUUAUGGAAUACAAUCAGAACUGGUGAUGGCAUUCAAACUGAGAUAACCCAAACUGUUCAAUCAGUUUACAAUAAGUUAUUGAACCCACAACUAAAUGAAGCUGGUGAAUCAUCCUCUCAUUCAGAAUUGCAGCCUGCUCCGAAUGGAGUUGAAACUAACGGACAUAGUGCUGCUUCAGACCGUGGUAUUGAUGCCACAUUUUCUGUUGAACCAGAGCCAAGUGAGCCUCCUGGUUUUGCCCGAUUAGGUUCAGAUCGGAACAGCAAAAGUAACUGUUCAAAUCAGAUUAACAAAAGUAACCAUAAGGAAUCACCCAAAGAGGAGUCAGGAUUUCCUAUUCCUGCUGAUGAAAAAGCCAGAGAAACAUAUACCGAGCCGGAGACGAACCGCGCACCUGACCCUUUGGUGCCUGACAGUAUGGAUGUGGAUGCACCACCUGGCUUUGCUAUUGUCACGAAGGAGAAGAAUCCAGAUGAAGUUGAUGAUGAAGAUCCUGACGUGCCUCCAGGAUUUGGCUGAUCGCUUAUUAAGUUAUUAUACUUAUGGUUAUAUUUUUUGGAAAAGGUUAGCCAAUACAUUGGUCAUUGUCGUAUCAAGUUCAAACAGCUCGUGUUGACACUUACAGAGAGUACUUUACGUUGACUGCGCCGGCUAGCAGCUCAUGACUUCUCUUUCUUCAAUUUCCCAAGGAAUUGAUGCUGGGGAUUGGACAAAGAAAAAUUAGUUGCUGAUACCAAUUGGCAAGAAGGUAUCCUUUGUAAAUGCCUUUGCGUGAUUUACUAAGCAAUUUAUUUUUUUCCUCUUGGUUACAAAGAUACUGCAUUAUGCCCUAGUGAGGUGCUACUUUCCUCUAACGGAUAAUUAUACUAGAGUAGAAAACUACUAGGAUUUUGUGAAUUAUUCAUAUCUAUGAUAUGGCACAAAUACAAUUACUGCUCCUGUGAUAGUCCGAAAAAUUUACACAGUAAAAUUUGUAGGAUCAAUGCAUGUAGGAUCAUGUGAGCCGAGGGUCUAUCUGAAACAACUUCUUUACCUCAUACAAGAUAGGGGUAAGGUCCGCGUACAUCCCACAUUUCCCAAACCCCACUCGUGGCAUCAUACUAUGUAUGUUAUUGUUGUUGUUGCAAUGUAUGUAAAGCUUUAUUAUUAAAGUAUAUGACCAUCUUAUCUAGGGUGUGGCUUAGUGGUCAAUGAAGUGGGUGAGAACCAUGAGGUCUCUAGUUCAAAUCCCAGCGGAGGCAAAUACUAGGUGAUUUCUUCCCAUCUAUCCAAGCCUUGGUGGAUAGAGUUACCUGGUACCUGUUGCUGGUUGGGAGGUGGCAAAUACUAAGUAUAUGACCAUCUUAUCUAAAAGUUCAAGUUGUUAUUGAGAACACACUUCUAUCUACUUAAUAAUGUCGCUGACAUUCUAAGCAAGACAUUUGAUUCUUUUUGAUGGUCCAAGGACAGGAAGUUCUUUUGAUGAAGGGUGGUGGUGAGAUUAAAACUUAGGACCUCUAUGUUUUUUGGUACCAUGUUAAAUUGUGUGUCCACCUCAUGUUGAAAAGCUUAAACUGUUAGAAAGGAUACACUUUUAUUUACUUAAUUAUAUCUUUCAGUAUAUAUUUUCUCUUUUAUUCUGUUUCUAAGUUGUUUAUGUCUGCUACAUGAGGUGAUGACAUUUUAUUGACCAAGUCUAUGGAUA